This 253-nucleotide ribosomal RNA is filed under the name uncultured prokaryote. Its description in RNAcentral is "partial 16S ribosomal RNA". It matches the Rfam family "Bacterial small subunit ribosomal RNA", at positions 524 to 776 of the family's 1533-position model. The record is from RNAcentral.
UACAGAGGUCUCAAGCGUUGUUCGGAUUCAUUGGGCGUAAAGGGUGCGUAGGUGGCGCUGUAAGUCAGGUGUGAAAUUUCGGAGCUCAACUUCGAAACUGCAUUUGAUACUGCGGUGCUUGAGGACUGGAGAGGAGACUGGAAUUUACGGUGUAGCAGUGAAAUGCGCAGAUAUCAGGAGGAACACCAAUGGCGAAGGCAGCACUCUGGGACGUGACUGACGCUGAGACGCGAAAGCGUGGGGAGCAAACAGG